AGUGGCUGGUCUGUCUGGGCCAGUGACAGUCGGUCUGGCUCAUUUAAAAGACCGUUGCCUGGCAUAAUGCGUCCUUUGUAGCGUCCUCAGCAGAAGCGGUCUGUGGAGAAGCCUUCUCUUCAGCUAACUUACUACAGAAUGAUCAGGCCUGUCAGGAUUCGGAACUACAAAAGCGCUACACAUCCUGACCCCAAGGAAUUAACUGAAGAGACUGAACUGAAUUGGUUCUACUGGGGGGUGCUGGAAUAGAAAAAAAAAGAGAGGAUAAAAAAAGAAAUGCACGCUUAUGGAGAACACGAAGGUGAAUGUUGUAUAGAUCAGGGGUCACAACCCAAAUGUUAAGAAGUGCCAUUUUGUCCUUUCAACCAAAAUCACACCAUCUUAGGAGC
Long non-coding RNA from Colossoma macropomum (tambaqui), 389 nucleotides. RefSeq lists it as uncharacterized. Lineage: Eukaryota; Metazoa; Chordata; Actinopteri; Characiformes; Serrasalmidae. The transcript is spliced from 3 exons. The record is from RefSeq and is a predicted model, not a curated record.